GACGAACGCUGGCGGCGUGCCUAAUACAUGCAAGUCGAACGCAUUUUCUUUCACCGUAGCUUGCUACACCGAAAGAAAAUGAGUGGCGAACGGGUGAGUAACACGUGGGUAACCUGCCCAUCAGCGGGGGAUAACACUUGGAAACAGGUGCUAAUACCGCAUAAUUCCAUUUACCGCAUGGUAGAUGGAUGAAAGGCGCUUUUGCGUCACUGAUGGAUGGACCCGCGGUGCAUUAGCUAGUGGGUGGGGUAACGGCCUACCAAGGCUGCGAUGCAUAGCCGCCCUGAGAGGGUGGUCGGCCACCCUGGGACUGAGAACCGGCCCAGACUCCUACGGGAGGCAGCAGUAGGGAAUCUUCGGCAAUGGACACAAGUCUGACCGAGCAACGCCGCGUGAGUGAAGAAGGUUUUCGGAUCGUAAAACUCUGUUGUUAGAGAAGAACAAGGAUGAGAGUGGAAAGUUCAUCCCUUGACGGUAUCUAACUAGAAAGCCACGGCUAACUACGUG
This 507-nucleotide ribosomal RNA is filed under the name uncultured bacterium. Its description in RNAcentral is "partial 16S ribosomal RNA". It matches the Rfam family "Bacterial small subunit ribosomal RNA", at positions 28 to 507 of the family's 1533-position model. The record is from RNAcentral.